AGCUCCAGAUAGCAUGCGUAUCCGCGUAAAAUACGCAUCAAAAAUCAAAAAUACGCAUCAGUUUUAGAAUCCAUGCGUCACAGUUACGCAUAAUAAAAUCAAAAUACGCAUGCAUAUUCAAAAUAAUGCGUAAAGCGUAAUCACUAACCCAGGUAAGGAGGAAGUUUACAUAAAGCGCGGAUGCUUUCACGCGACGUGAGAGUGAUUAUACAAUGUUAAUUAACGACCGGGAUCCAGGUCAGACGAGUUCACUUUCAUCGGGGGUAAAGAAGGGUCAUGCUAACGAUUUCGAGACGUUUCGGCCCAAGACAUAUCGGCCCCAAAUUACCCAAUACGAAGUAUUUUUAAAUCCACAGCGUGGACAGACAUUCUUUUUCUUAUAAAAAAAAAAUACUUGAUUUUUUUUUCGAAUGUAUUAUCAUAAAAGAUUCCAUAACUAAUGAUACAACGAUGCAAAAAAAAAAAAACCGAUGCCCAUGAAAAAUUUUAAUGUGUUCAACUUUUUAGUUGCGUAUGACCUAAUCUUCGAACAUUAUUUUUUAGUUGCGUAUGACCUAAUCUCCGAACGUUUUCAACAUUUUGAUUUUGUUAAAAGAAUAAAUUUAUACAAGUUAUAAAUACCACUUACAACAUCUUCAGAAUGUCACAAAAGAAGAUUUUUAAUUUCUUUCAAAGCACGGAGAAGUCAAACUCAUUGGUAUUGGUGAAGGGUAUAUUGAAUGACUUAGUCAGUGAUGUUAUUAUUAAAAAUUCAUCAAAAAAACACGAAACUGUAAAUGACAAAACAUUAGAAAAAUGGAAACAAAAUUACCCAUGGUUAAUUGUAUCUGAUAUGCAUGAAAAAAAGACAUUGAAAUGUAAAUUAUGUUCUGAGUUUAAAACAAGUACAAUAUGGGCAAAGGACGGUACAACCAAUAUUCAAAAGUCUACUCUUGACCGUCAUAAUGAAUGUGAUCCCCACAUUGAAGCAUGUAAAUUAUCUAUCAAAAAACUUGAUAUGGAACUCGCACCAGAGAACAAGUUGGAAAAAGGGCCUCCCUUGGUGAUGUUUCCCUUGAGGCUCUCAUGAGGGUCAGCCUGUUUGGACCAAGUGUUGAGAAUUUUGAUAGUGAACAAUGUGCUAGGCAGUGGUUGACCAAGAGAAGGCGAAAAAAGAGACUUACUGCGGAG
Molecule: long non-coding RNA, 1170 nt
Organism: Ruditapes philippinarum (Manila clam)
Lineage: Eukaryota; Metazoa; Mollusca; Bivalvia; Venerida; Veneridae
Exons: 3
Source: RefSeq, a predicted model, not a curated record